CCUACGGGAGGCAGCAGUGGGGAAUAUUGCACAAUGGGCGAAAGCCUGAUGCAGCAACGCCGCGUGAGGGAUGAAGGCCUUCGGGUUGUAAACCUCUUUUAGCAGGGAAGAAGCGAAAGUGACGGUACCUGCAGAAAAAGCACCGGCUAACUACGUGCCAGCAGCCGCGGUAAUACGUAGGGUGCAAGCGUUGUCCGGAAUUAUUGGGCGUAAAGAGCUCGUAGGCGGUUUGUCGCGUCUGCUGUGAAAAUCCGAGGCUCAACCUCGGACCUGCAGUGGGUACGGGCAAGCUAGAGUGCGGUAGGGGAGAUGGGAAUUCCUGGUGUAGCGGUGGAAUGCGCAGAUAUCAGGAGGAACACCAAUGGCGAAGGCACAUCUCUGGGCCGUAACUGACGCUGAGGAGCGAAAGCGUGGGGAGCGAACAGGAUUAGAUACCCUGGUAGUCCACGCCGUAAACGGUGGGUGCUAGUUGUGGGCCACAUUCCACGUGGUCUGUGACGAAGUUAACACAUUAAGCACCCCGCCUGGGGAGUACGGUCGCAAGACUAAAACUCAAAGGAAUUGACGG
Molecule: ribosomal RNA, 568 nt
Filed under: Rhodoluna sp. SH3101B70
Lineage: Bacteria; Bacillati; Actinomycetota; Actinomycetes; Micrococcales; Microbacteriaceae
Description: bacterial SSU rRNA
Rfam family: Bacterial small subunit ribosomal RNA
Source: RNAcentral